RNAcentral lists this ribosomal RNA (497 nucleotides) under uncultured bacterium. Its description in RNAcentral is "partial 16S ribosomal RNA". It matches the Rfam family "Bacterial small subunit ribosomal RNA", at positions 28 to 507 of the family's 1533-position model. The record is from RNAcentral.
GAUGAACGCUGGCGGCGUGCCUAAUACAUGCAAGUCGAGCGAACGGACGAGAAGCUUGCUUCUCUGAUGUUAGCGGCGGACGGGUGAGUAACACGUGGAUAACCUACCUAUAAGACUGGGAUAACUUCGGGAAACCGGAGCUAAUACCGGAUAAUAUUUUGAACCGCAUUGUUCAAAAGUGAAAGACGGUCUUGCUGUCACUUAUAGAUGGAUCCGCGCUGCAUUAGCUAGUUGGUAAGGUAACGGCUUACCAAGGCAACGAUGCAUAGCCGACCUGAGAGGGUGAUCGGCCACACUGGAACUGAGACACGGUCCAGAGUCCUGAGGGAGGCAGCAGUAGGGAAUCUUACGCAAUGGGCGAAAGCCUGACGGAGCAACGCGGCGUGAGUGAUGAAGGUCUUCGGAUCGUAAAACUCUGUUAUUAGGGAAGAACAUAUGUGUAAGUAACUGUGCACAUCUUGACGGUAACUAAUCAGAAAGCCACGGCUAACUACGUG